GAUGAACGCUGGCGGCGUGCCUAAUACAUGCAAGUCGAGCGAACGGACGAGAAGCUUGCUUCUCUGAUGUUAGCGGCGGACGGGUGAGUAACACGUGGAUAACCUACCUAUAAGACUGGGAUAACUUCGGGAAACCGGAGCUAAUACCGGAUAAUAUUUUGAACCGCAUGGUUCAAAAGUGAAAGACGGUCUUGCUGUCACUUAUAGAUGGAUCCGCGCAGCAUUAGCUAGUUGGUAAGGUAACGGCUUACCAAGGCAACGAUGCAUAGCCGACCUGAGAGGGUGAUCGGCCACACUGGAACUGAGACACGGUCCAGACUCCUACGGGAGGCAGCAGUAGGGAAUCUUCCGCAAUGGGCGAAAGCCUGACGGAGCAACGCCGCGUGAGUGAUGAAGGUCUUCGGAUCGUAAAACUCUGUUAUUAGGGAAGAACAUAUGUGUAAGUAACUGUGCACAUCUUGACGGUACCUAAUCAGAAAGCCACGGCUAACUACGUGCCAGCAGCCGCGGUAAUACGUAGGUGGCAAGCGUUAUCCGGAAUUAUUGGGCGUAAAGCGCGCGUAGGCGGUUUUUUAAGUCUGAUGUGAAAGCCCACGGCUCAACCGUGGAGGGUCAUUGGAAACUGGAAAACUUGAGUGCAGAAGAGGAAAGUGGAAUUCCAUGUGUAGCGGUGAAAUGCGCAGAGAUAUGGAGGAACACCAGUGGCGAAGGCGACUUUCUGGUCUGUAACUGACGCUGAUGUGCGAAAGCGUGGGGAUCAAACAGGAUUAGAUACCCUGGUAGUCCACGCCGUAAACGAUGAGUGCUAAGUGUUAGGGGGUUUCCGCCCCUUAGUGCUGCAGCUAACGCAUUAAGCACUCCGCCUGGGGAGUACGACCGCAAGGUUGAAACUCAAAGGAAUUGACGGGGACCCGCACAAGCGGUGGAGCAUGUGGUUUAAUUCGAAGCAACGCGAAGAACCUUACCAAAUCUUGACAUCCUUUGACAACUCUAGAGAUAGAGCUUUCCCCUUCGGGGGACAAAGUGACAGGUGGUGCAUGGUUGUCGUCAGCUCGUGUCGUGAGAUGUUGGGUUAAGUCCCGCAACGAGCGCAACCCUUAAGCUUAGUUGCCAUCAUUAAGUUGGGCACUCUAAGUUGACUGCCGGUGACAAACCGGAGGAAGGUGGGGAUGACGUCAAAUCAUCAUGCCCCUUAUGAUUUGGGCUACACACGUGCUACAAUGGACAAUACAAAGGGCAGCGAAACCGUGAGGUCAAGCAAAUCCCAUAAAUUUGUUCUCAGUUCGGAUUGUAGUCUGCAACUCGACUACAUGAAGCUGGAAUCGCUAGUAAUCGUAGAUCAGCAUGCUACGGUGAAUACGUUCCCGGGUCU
Molecule: ribosomal RNA, 1372 nt
Filed under: uncultured bacterium
Lineage: Bacteria
Description: bacterial SSU rRNA
Rfam family: Bacterial small subunit ribosomal RNA
Source: RNAcentral